AGUCGAGCGGCAGCGGGAAAGUAGCUUGCUACUUUUGCCGGCGAGCGGCGGACGGGUGAGUAAUGCCCGGGGAUCUGCCCAGUCGAGGGGGAUAACAGUUGGAAACGGCUGCUAAUACCGCAUACGCCCUACGGGGGAAAGCAGGGGACCUUCGGGCCUUGCGCGAUUGGAUGAACCCAGGUGGGAUUAGCUAGUUGGUGGGGUAAUGGCUCACCAAGGCGACGAUCCCUAGCUGGUCUGAGAGGAUGAUCAGCCACACUGGAACUGAGACACGGUCCAGACUCCUACGGGAGGCAGCAGUGGGGAAUAUUGCACAAUGGGGGAAACCCUGAUGCAGCCAUGCCGCGUGUGUGAAGAAGGCCUUCGGGUUGUAAAGCACUUUCAGCGAGGAGGAAAGGUUGGCAGCUAAUAUCUGCCAGCUGUGACGUUACUCGCAGAAGAAGCACCGGCUAACUCCGUGCCAGCAGCCGCGGUAAU
This 477-nucleotide ribosomal RNA is filed under the name uncultured bacterium. RNAcentral's name for it is "bacterial SSU rRNA". It matches the Rfam family "Bacterial small subunit ribosomal RNA", at positions 60 to 524 of the family's 1533-position model. The record is from RNAcentral.